This 1793-nucleotide unclassified non-coding RNA is filed under the name Hevea brasiliensis (rubber tree). Lineage: Eukaryota; Viridiplantae; Streptophyta; Magnoliopsida; Malpighiales; Euphorbiaceae. The record is from RNAcentral.
GACCGGCGAUAUACUGGGCCACAGCUGCUCUACCUCUACCCACUCAAAUUCAAAGCAUGAUUGCAUAGCCUCAUUAACUACAGAUUACAGAGUGAGUAAAAUGAUUUUGAUCUCUUGUUCUAAUCUCAACCUGCGCCUCAUAAAACCCUAAGUUUUGUAUGCUUUCAUUGAAUUUAAAGUAGCUCAUUUCAAUUAUAGCUUGUUUUUGUGCUCUUAUUAGCUCCCAAUCCAUGUAUUUUGUUCUUUAUUAUCACACAAACAUUGUACUCGAUUUUCAGCUUGAGCUUGCUGUUUGAUGUAUUUAUGUACGCUAAGAAACUUUGUUUACUAAUCCCAAUGGUUGAAUUUGAUAAUGUUGCUCUUAUGCCUGUGUUCCUUUGCAAAUUUGAAGCUUAGGUUUGAACUCAGUGUAAUCUUCAUUUCUGAAACGUGGAAAGUUGCUUUGGUGUCUAUUAGAAUAUGAGGAAAUUGUACAUGGUUGGGUUGUAUAAUUUUUUCUUCUCUAUUUAUUUGUGUUCUUAUGCAGGACCGUUGACUGAAUUUACUAUUCCAACUAUGGUUGAAUCUGUGUCAUUUUUAGGAAAUUCUGUACCUAUUGAAAAUGGUGUUAAUCAUGUUAAAUUGCUUCCUGCAUCUAAUGAUGAUCAUGGGGGUGUAAUAGUCGACAUGAAGGAGCCUGUGGAACCUGACAUCUUUCUUGCCAUGCUCAGAGCUUCAAUAUCACUGUGGAGGCAACAGGGGAAGAGGGGAGUUUGGAUUAAGUUGCCCAUUAAACUUGUAAAUCUUGUAGAAACUGCAGUCAAGGAAGGAUUCUGGUACCACCAUGCUGAGCCAAGUUACCUCAUGCUUGUUUACUGGAUUCCUGAAACUGCAAGUACAAUCCCUGCAAAUGCAUCACACAGAGUAGGUGUUGGUGCUAUUGUCUUUAAUGACAAAAGAGAGGUAUUUUCCAUAACCUCGUUUCUGCUUGCUCUGAUUCUGCUUUGCUUUUAUUUUAGGUCACUUUUCUUAUUCCUAAUCUCUUUAAAACAGAUAUGUUAAUUUUCCUUGCUUUCAUCAUUCCUCUCCUCCAAAAGAUGAGUCUUCAAUUGAUGUAAACAAAGGUCUUAGUUGAUUUCAUCCCUUCCCCCAUGUGUUUGCUUUCUAACUUAAAAGAAGGAAUCUUUUUUAUUUCAUUUUAGUCUCAUCUGGGUUUGGCAUUUAUUGAGUAGACAGUUCUCUAUAAAUUCUUGCAAUUGCGAAAAUAAAUUUAUUUUCUUUCAUAUCACUAUGGAUUCUGAAGAAUUAGUUAAGGAUUGCCAAGGAUUUGUCUAUUAGUCGCGGUGAAAAGAUUAUCUGGCCAAAAGUUCACAUGUUUAGCUGUAAGUUCACAUGUUUUGUGUUCCAAUACUUCAUGAUAUGAACUAUUUUGGAUUUCAGAAUUUAAACAAAAAUUUUCCAUGAAAAUUGCUGCUAUGGGAUCAUCUAAAUUGGUUUGGUAUCAUCUUUAACACACUCUCACACAUAGUUUGUUGAUCCUAAAUUGGAAUCCUCUUGGCUGUUAAGUUCUUGUUUUUGACGCACAUACAUAUAUUGCUGGUCUUUAAUAGGAAUCCUCUUGGUUGUUAGGUGCUUGUUGUGCAGGAAAAAAGUGGCAGAUUUCGAGGAACAGGGGUGUGGAAAAUUCCCACUGGAGUUGUCGAUGAGGGUGAGGAUGUCUUCAUGGCAGCUGUUAGAGAAGUAAAAGAAGAGACAGGAAUUGACACAGAUUUUCAGGAAAUUUUGGCAUUCAGACAGUCACACAAAUCAUUCUU